Molecule: ribosomal RNA, 253 nt
Filed under: uncultured bacterium
Lineage: Bacteria
Description: partial 16S ribosomal RNA
Rfam family: Bacterial small subunit ribosomal RNA
Source: RNAcentral
UACGGAGGGUGCGAGCGUUGUCCGGAAUCAUUGGGCGUAAAGGGCGCGUAGGCGGCCCACCAAGUCAGGCGUGAAAGCCCCGGGCUCAACCUGGGAACGGCGCUUGGGACUGAUGGGCUGGAGUUCGGGAGAGGAGAGUGGAAUUCCCAGUGUAGAGGUGAAAUUCGUAGAUAUUCGCAAGAACACCAGUGGCGAAGGCGGCUCACUGGCCCGAUACUGACGCUGAGGCACGAAAGCGUGGGGAGCAAACAGG